RNAcentral lists this long non-coding RNA (1800 nucleotides) under Scleropages formosus (Asian bonytongue). RNAcentral's name for it is "lncRNA (ENSSFOG00015026287.1)". Lineage: Eukaryota; Metazoa; Chordata; Actinopteri; Osteoglossiformes; Osteoglossidae. The record is from RNAcentral.
CGAAAAACUCAGUACGCAUCACAGAUUUGUUAAUGUUCUGUAACACAUUUACAUUUUACAUUUAUUAAUUUAGCAGACUCCAAAGCGAUGUACAUCUGGAAAAAAAAUACAAUCUGUGCAUAAGAGAGAGAGAGAGAGAGAGAGAGAGAGAGAGAGAGAGAUGGCUGCAGACAUGUGACCUUAUUUAAACCUAGCUGAAACACACUGUGUUUCACCAGUGAAGCCCUACAACUACUCGCGACUCCCCCGUGGGACAAGUGCGCCAAAGCUCUCUCCCGGAAGCGUGUGACGCAAUUGGAAUGAAAAGCGCGCGUGGCGGAUGGGUGGCGUUCAGUUCUUUUCCUGCGAUACUGGUGGAUACUUCGGGAAAGUACAUAUAGUCAUUUCUAGAGCUUCCAGCUGUUGACCAACAAUGUCUGGUAAUCUACCUUUAGAGACAAACAGUAAGUACUUUCUGUGCUUUUUAUGUGUGAAUUAUUUAUUUAUUCCCCCCCCCCCCCCCCCCCCCCCUUCCAUCGCUGGUUAUGGUUCUUGUUGACCUGUCUCUCUAUGUGUGGCUCCCACAUUCCUUUUCUGUUGGUAGCAGGCCAACAAUGGAAGUUCAGCCAAAAAUUACUUAAAAUUGUUCUCUCUUACUUUAGACUUUAGUGGUGGUCACACUCUGGUGUAAAAGCAUGGUAGAAGUGGAUGCUGGCCCAAUCUUAAUGGUUCUUUUCAGAACACACACAUUGCCAUGCUCCAGAGAGGAACUGCACGGUGACUGACACAGAGUAUGUGCUUCACUACCAGGUUUCUGGUUGAGUGCAGGGCUCCAGUGAAUGCCAGCUGUACCGGCUACCUUACUGACAGGCCAGCACUAUGUGGGCAUGCACUCUUCACCAACUCAUGGUGCUCUCUCCCUAUCCCUUUGGCACAACAGCACAUCCUGCUGCAACAUCUGAGGGGUCCAUUAGUGUUACUAAUGGUUCUGUGGUCACUGGAUCCCGGUUGACUAGCUGUAUAGUUGGAGGCUCCGUCACCAACCGUGUCAGAGCUCUGUUAUCUGCUAGUGGAAAUCAGACUUCCCUGAACUCUACCACCAGCAGUCCUUCUAGAAGUGUCAUUACUGGAUCCAGUUUGAUGGACUGUGAAGUUGGGGGCUCUGUCACAAACAGUGUCAUGGGUAGAUUUUUGAGUGUUAUUCAAUACUUAAACACACUGUUCAUUCUGAAAGUAUUUAUUCCCUUCAAAUGUUCACAUUCGUAAGUCUGGAAGUGUUGUUCCUCUUCACUGAACUCAAAUUUAAUACUGUUAUUGGGCGUUUUUAGAAUUACAGCAGCAUUUUUCAGUAAAUUAAAUGUACACAUUUACUUUUUGCUAAAUUAUCACCCUGACAGUUCAGGAGUUCAUUGUUGUACAACAGACAUCAGUCAUAGCUUGGAAUAUUUGUGGGUUUAACUUCAUGAGCUUUACACAUUACCUUUAGGAGUUUUUAGACAGUUGUCUUUACAGUUUGCUGUACCAUUAUCAAGUUACAUGGAGAGGAUAAGUAUCCAGUUUUAAUUGGAUUAAUGUGUGAGCUGCUCCAUGAAACUGUUGUCGUUAACAUUUACCGUUAUUAAUUUUGCAGAUGCUUUUCUCCAGAGCGACAGACAUCUCUGGUAUUGAGAUAUAUCAGAUGUCGUGCUGUGGUUAAGGACAUUGAUUUAUAAGCUAAAGGCUGCCAGUUCAAACCAUCACCCGUUACUGUUGUUGUACGCUGGAUCUCGGUACUCAUAGCUACUCAAUAAACAUGGAUCUGUAUGUUGUCUGUUUAAUAAU